Molecule: signal recognition particle RNA, 99 nt
Filed under: Chlorobium phaeovibrioides
Lineage: Bacteria; Pseudomonadati; Chlorobiota; Chlorobiia; Chlorobiales; Chlorobiaceae
Also listed under: 2 other names
Description: signal recognition particle sRNA small type
Rfam family: Bacterial small signal recognition particle RNA
About the family: The signal recognition particle (SRP) is a universally conserved ribonucleoprotein involved in the co-translational targeting of proteins to membranes. Archaeal SRP consists of a 7S RNA and homologues of the eukaryotic SRP19 and SRP54 proteins. In most bacteria, the SRP consists of a 4.5S RNA and the Ffh protein (a homologue of the eukaryotic SRP54 protein).
Source: RNAcentral
GAGUAAGUCCUAUACAACAUUCGCCUGCCCAACCAUGUCAGAUCCGGAAGGAAGCAGCAUCCGGCAUUGUGAGUGUGUGAUAUAGUAAGCUUACUCUCU